Molecule: ribosomal RNA, 402 nt
Filed under: Phaeophyceae sp.
Lineage: Eukaryota; Phaeophyceae
Description: partial small subunit ribosomal RNA
Rfam family: Eukaryotic small subunit ribosomal RNA
Source: RNAcentral
AUUCCAGCUCCAAUAGCGUAUAUUAAAGUUGCUGCAGUUAAAAAGCUCGUAGUUGGAUUUGUGGCGCGGCCGUCCGGCGGGGCUCCUUCAUUGGGGCCGUUUGUCUGGUUUUUCGGCCGCUCCAUUCUCGGGUAGUGUGUCGCUGGCAUUAGGUUGUCGGCUUCUUCACGCCCGUCGUUUACUGUGAAAAAAUUAGAGUGUUCAAAGCAGGCUUAGGCCAUUGGAUACAUUAGCAUGGAAUAAUGAGAUAGGGCCACGACGGUCUAUUUUGUUGGUUUGCACGUUGUGGUAAUGAUUAACAGGAACGGUUGGGGGUAUUCGUAUUCAAUUGUCAGAGGUGAGAUUCUUGGAUUUAUGGAAGACGAACUACUGCGAAAGCAUUUACCAAGGAUGUUUUCAUUG